This is an RNA transcript of Otolemur garnettii (small-eared galago), 1484 nucleotides long. It is a transcript of the gene named replication protein A 70 kDa DNA-binding subunit pseudogene, with no coding region annotated. The record is from RefSeq and is a predicted model, not a curated record. The transcript is spliced from 2 exons. Lineage: Eukaryota; Metazoa; Chordata; Mammalia; Primates; Galagidae.
UUAGUGCUGCGGAGCCAUGGUUGGCCAGCUGAGCGAAGGGGCCAUUGCGGCCAUAAUGCAACAGGGGGACACAUCCAUAAAACCCAUCCUCCAAGUCAUUAACGUCCGUCCCAUUACCACAGGGAAUAGUCCACCCCGCUAUCGACUUCUUAUGAGUGAUGGAUUGAACACUCUAUCCUCUUUCAUGUUGGCAACUCAGUUGAACCCUCUAGUUGAGCAAGAACGUUUGUCCAGCAACUGUAUUUGCCAGAUUAACCAAUUUAUUGUCAACACUCUGAAAGAUGGAAGGAGAGUAGUUAUUUUGAUGGAGUUAGAAGUUUUGAAAUCAGCUGAAGCGGUUGGAUUAAAGAUUGGCAAUCCAGUGCCUUAUAAUGAAGGGCAUGGGCAGCAGCAAGUAGUUCCUUCUCCAGCUACAGCAGCCAGUCCAUCAACCAGCCGGCCCCAGCCACAGAAUGGGAGCUUAGGAAUGGGUUCCGCUGUUUCUAAGUCUUUUGGUGCCUCUAAGACAUUUGGAAAACCCGGAGGUAUGAGCCUCCCAAACACUUCUGGGGGAACACAGGCCAAGGUGGUGCCCAUUGCCAGCCUUACUCCUUACCAGUCCAAGUGGACUAUUUGUGCUCGUGUUACCAACAAAAGUCAGAUCCGUACCUGGAGCAAUUCCCGAGGGGAAGGGAAGCUUUUCUCUGUAGAACUAGUUGAUCAAAGUGGUGAAAUUAGAGCUACAGCUUUCAAUGAUCAAGUGGACAAGUUCUUUCCCCUUAUUGAAGUGAACAAGGUUUAUUAUUUCACGAAAGGUACGCUGAAGAUUGCUAACAAACAAUUCUCAGCUGUUAAAAACGACUACGAGAUGACCUUCAGUAAUGAUACUUCUGAUCUCAAGAGUGGAGGAGUAGGGGGGAGCAACACCAACUGGAAGACUUUAAAUGAGGUUAAAUCAGAGAACCUGGGCCAAGGUGACAAGGCCGACUAUUUUAGCUCUGUGGCGACAGUGGUGUAUCUUCGCAAAGAGAACUCUAUGUACCAGGCCUACCCAACUCAGGACUGCAAUAAGAAAGUGAUUGACCAACAGAAUGGAUUGUACCGCUGUGAGAAGUGUGACAGUGAAUUUCCCAAUUUCAAGUACCGCAUGAUCCUGUCAGUAAAUAUUGCAGAUUUUCAAGACAAUCAGUGGGUGACUUGUUUCCAGGAGUCUGCUGAAGCUAUCCUUGGACAAAACACUGCUUAUCUCGGGGAAUUAAAAGAGAAGAAUGAACAGGCAUUUGAGGAAGUUUUUCAGAAUGCCAACUUUCGAUCUUUCACAUUCAGAAUCAGAGUCAAACUAGAGAACUACAAUGAUGAGUCUCGGAUUAAGGCCACAGUGAUGGAUGUGAAGCCUGUGGACUACAGAGAAUAUGGGAGAAGGCUGAUCACAAACAUCCGGAGAAACGCACUUAUGUGAGGAGAGCGGCACUGACUGGGCAGAAGUUUGCAAAUAAAGAUCCAAA